GCGCAGGAAAUUUGAAAGGAUCUGACCCUAGUACGAGAGGACCGGGUUGGACGAACCUCUGGUGUGUCAGUUGUUCCGCCAGGAGCACCGCUGAUUAGCUACGUUCGGGAUGGAUAACCGCUGAAAGCAUCUAAGCGGGAAGCCGGCCUUAAGAUGAGAUUUCCAUGCCUUCGGGCGAGAGGCUCCCAGCCAGACUACUGGGUUGAUAGGCCGGAUGUGGAAGAGAGGACGAAAGACUCUCGGAGCUGACCGGUACUAAUAAGCCGAUAAUUUGAUAAC
This 279-nucleotide ribosomal RNA is filed under the name Plantibacter sp. CFBP 8804. Its description in RNAcentral is "partial 23S ribosomal RNA". It matches the Rfam family "Bacterial large subunit ribosomal RNA", at positions 2651 to 2925 of the family's 2925-position model. The record is from RNAcentral. Lineage: Bacteria; Bacillati; Actinomycetota; Actinomycetes; Micrococcales; Microbacteriaceae.